GGGUCAGUAGGUUGGUCGUGCCACCGGUACGUACUGGUCUCACUGAUUCCUCCUGCCUGAAGAACCGUAAUGCCAUUAAUUUGGUGUUGCGGGGAAACAGGACUGUUACUUUGAAAAAAUUAGAGUGUUUAAAGCAAGCUAACGCUUGAAUACAUUAGCAUGGAAUAACGAAAUAGGACGAUCGAUCCUAUUUUGUUGGUUUCUAGGAUUGACGUA
This 216-nucleotide ribosomal RNA is filed under the name Glomeromycotina sp. RNAcentral describes it as "partial small subunit ribosomal RNA". The stretch from base 75 to 216 matches the Rfam family "Eukaryotic small subunit ribosomal RNA", at positions 721 to 864 of the family's 1831-position model. The record is from RNAcentral. Lineage: Eukaryota; Fungi; Glomeromycota.